This 229-nucleotide unclassified non-coding RNA is filed under the name Hevea brasiliensis (rubber tree). The record is from RNAcentral. Lineage: Eukaryota; Viridiplantae; Streptophyta; Magnoliopsida; Malpighiales; Euphorbiaceae.
UUUUUUGCCCUUCUGCUGUUAUCCCCUGCAUGAUUGAUUUCAAUCUAUCGAGCUCGAUCAACUACUACAUCAAAUGACUGAUCUGACAACAUAGCCAAGUUUGCAUACUUUCUGUCCAAUCCCUUCAGAAAUCUUUUUACUUUCAUGCUUUCUAUAGCUACGACAGUAGGAGCAUAUCUACUCAAUUCUAAGAACUCGGAAGCAUACUCCUCCACUAACCUGUUGUUCG